GGUAAGAUGGCUGAGUGACAAGCGGUGGAUUGUAGCCCCAUGAACAGAGGUUUGAGUCCUCUUCUUACCA
Molecule: transfer RNA, 70 nt
Filed under: Holacanthus tricolor (rock beauty)
Lineage: Eukaryota; Metazoa; Chordata; Actinopteri; Pomacanthidae
Description: tRNA-Tyr
Rfam family: tRNA
About the family: Transfer RNA (tRNA) molecules are approximately 80 nucleotides in length. Their secondary structure includes four short double-helical elements and three loops (D, anti-codon, and T loops).
Source: RNAcentral